Molecule: ribosomal RNA, 198 nt
Filed under: Granaria stabili
Lineage: Eukaryota; Metazoa; Mollusca; Gastropoda; Stylommatophora; Chondrinidae
Description: partial 28S ribosomal RNA
Source: RNAcentral
CGCGCGGCUCCGGGGUGUCCGCGGCUCGGGAUCCUUGGGAACCGGCCGCGGUGCCGAACCGGGCUCCGCCGCGUGCACUUUCCGCGGGCAGAGAGCCACAACCGGUUCGGGCGGGCGCGGCUGAUAUGCCGUGGAGGGUUGUAGGUGGGGGCGCUCGCGUCCCUACCAGCCCUCCCCACCGGCGAGCCGCCACCAGAC